This 372-nucleotide ribosomal RNA is filed under the name uncultured organism. Its description in RNAcentral is "bacterial SSU rRNA". It matches the Rfam family "Bacterial small subunit ribosomal RNA", at positions 526 to 896 of the family's 1533-position model. The record is from RNAcentral.
CGUAGGGUGCGAGCGUUAAUCGGAAUUACUGGGCGUAAAGCGUGCGCAGGCGGUUUGUUAAGAUAGGCGUGAAAUCCCCGGGCUCAACCUGGGAACUGCGCUUAUGACUGGCAAGCUAGAGUACGGCAGAGGGGGGUGGAAUUCCACGUGUAGCAGUGAAAUGCGUAGAGAUGUGGAGGAACACCAAUGGCGAAGGCAGCCCCCUGGGUCGAUACUGACGCUCAUGCACGAAAGCGUGGGUAGCAAACAGGAUUAGAUACCCUGGUAGUCCACGCCCUAAACGAUGUCAACUGGUUGUUGGGAGGGUAAAACCUUUUAGUACCGGAGCUAACGCGUGAAGUUGACCGCCUGGGGAGUACGGCCGCAAGGUUA